CUUCUUUAAACUAAGUUGUUUUUCUUCUUUAAGUCUUAAGUUGUUCUUUUAAACUGUUGUCCAUGCAUGUCGGUCACGAUCGCCGCGUUUGUGAUACCCCUGGUAUGGGCGGUCGUGACACCCUCACUUCAUACUCAGAUUUUGGAGCUUGUUCUGUUGUCAACUUGUAAUGUUGCCUGAUGAGGUGUGUGUGAAAUCCGCCAUUUUCAGAAGAAAGAACAAAUCAGUUGGACGGACGAACGAAUCAAGAAAAGAAUGGAAAAUUUUGUGGCAUUGAGUUGAUCAAGCCAAAAAUCAAGCGGAGCCAGCAGGAGUUCUGCAUUGGAGGAUAGAGCUGAAGACCCCACCACCAAUUGUGAAGGGCAGGAACGACAUUUCAGAGAGGUGGUACCCUAGGGAUUAGAGCCCUAAGCCUCUCUAUAUAAUGGAAGCCCGACACAAGAAAAAGGGAGUCCCAGCCGUAGGUAGAAAGGGGGUCUCAAACACACUUAGUUAGAUAUCUUUAGGAAUUCAGCUCUCUUAUAGGGCUGAAAUCGAAGCUCAUUUCACUUCCUCUUCUUGAUUCCUUUGCACACACACACUUGGUCCUCGCUUAGUUUAUUUUAGUUGGUAUUUGGGUGUAGUUUCUGGCAUUUUUCAACUUUCGGUUCUGUAUUCAGCUUCGAGAAGGGGCGACGAAACAAUUUACUACUUUCCCUGUUCGUUUUCUAUUUA
This is a long non-coding RNA of Salvia splendens (bonfire salvia), 714 nucleotides long. RefSeq lists it as uncharacterized. The transcript has 2 exons. The record is from RefSeq and is a predicted model, not a curated record. Lineage: Eukaryota; Viridiplantae; Streptophyta; Magnoliopsida; Lamiales; Lamiaceae.